UGGGAACGCCGACUAAUACCCCAUGGCAUUGAUUUCAGGAAWCUGUUAUCAAUUAAAGAAUUUCGGAAACGGAUAGGCUCGCGUGACAUUAGCUAGAUGGCGGGGUAACGGCCCACCAUGGCGACGAUGUCUAGGGGUUCUGAGAGGAAGGUCCCCCACACUGGAACUGAGACACGGUCCAGACUCCUACGGGAGGCAGCAGUGAGGAAUAUUGGUCAAUGGUCUGACGACUGAACCAGCCAUGCCGCGUGAAGGUGACGGCCCUAUGGGUCUUAAACUUCUUUUGCAAGGGAGCAAUAAGGCGUACGUGUACGUCAAUGAGAGUACCUUGCGAAUAAGCAUCGGCUAACUCCGUGCCAGCAGCCGCGGUAAUACGGGGGAUGCAAGCGUUAUCCGGAUUUAUUGGGUUUAAAGGGUGCGUAGGCGGUCUGGUAAGUCAGCGGUGAAAUUUAGGGGCUCAACCUCUACCGUGCCGUUGAUACUGUCAGGCUAGAAUGCGGAUGCCGUGGGAGGAAUGUGUGGUGUAGCGGUGAAAUGCAUAGAUAUCACACAGAACACCGAUUGCGAAGGCAUCUCACGAAUCCGCGAUUGACGCUGAUGCACGAAAGCGUGGGGAUCAAACAGGAUUAGAUACCCUGGUAGUCCACGCUGUAAACGAUGAUGACUAACCGUCGGCGAUACACAGUCGGUGGCCAAGCGAAAGCGAUAAGUCAUCCACCUGGGGAGUACGACCGCAAGGUUGAAACUCAAAGGAAUUGACGGGGGCCCGCACAAGCGGAGGAACAUGUGGUUUAAUUCGAUGAUACGCGAGGAACCUUACCCGGGCUCGAACGGCAGAUGAAUUGAGUAGAGAUAUUCAAGUCUUCGGACAUCUGUCGAGGUGCUGCAUGGUUGUCGUCAGCUCGUGCUGUGAAGUGUCGGCUUAAGUGCCAUAACGAGCGCAACCCUUGCCGUUAGUUGCCAUCAGGUCAAGCUGGGGACUCUAGCGGGACUGCCACCGCAAGGUGUGAGGAAGGGGGGGAUGACGUCAAAUCAGCACGGCCCUUACGUCCGGGGCGACACACGUGUUACAAUGGUGGGUACAGAGGGAAGCUACCUGGCGACAGGAUGCAGAUCUCGAAAACCCAUCCCAGUUCGGAUUGGUAUCGGCAACCAGWYUCCCACAAGAA
This 1169-nucleotide ribosomal RNA is filed under the name uncultured bacterium. RNAcentral describes it as "bacterial SSU rRNA". It matches the Rfam family "Bacterial small subunit ribosomal RNA", at positions 151 to 1327 of the family's 1533-position model. The record is from RNAcentral.